GACUCUUGGCAACGGAUAUCUCGGCUCUCGCAUCGAUGAAGAACAUAGCUAAAUGUGAUACUUGGUGCGAAUUGCAAAAUCCCGUGAACCAUCGAGUCUUUGAAUGCAAGCUGUGCCCGAAGCCAUUAGGUUGAGGGUGUGUCUGCUUGGGCAUCU
This is a ribosomal RNA of Camellia sinensis, 156 nucleotides long. RefSeq annotates it as 5.8S ribosomal RNA. Lineage: Eukaryota; Viridiplantae; Streptophyta; Magnoliopsida; Ericales; Theaceae. The record is from RefSeq and is a predicted model, not a curated record.